This 253-nucleotide ribosomal RNA is filed under the name uncultured bacterium. RNAcentral describes it as "partial 16S ribosomal RNA". It matches the Rfam family "Bacterial small subunit ribosomal RNA", at positions 524 to 776 of the family's 1533-position model. The record is from RNAcentral.
UACGUAGGGUGCAAGCGUUAAUCGGAAUUACUGGGCGUAAAGCGUGCGCAGGCGGUUUUGUAAGUCUGAUGUGAAAUCCCCGGGCUCAACCUGGGAAUUGCAUUGGAGACUGCAAGGCUAGAGUGUGUCAGAGGGGGGUAGAAUUCCACGUGUAGCAGUGAAAUGCGUAGAUAUGUGGAGGAACACCGAUGGCGAAGGCAGCCCCCUGGGAUAACACUGACGCUCAUGCACGAAAGCGUGGGGAGCAAACAGG